This 1290-nucleotide ribosomal RNA is filed under the name Triticum aestivum (bread wheat). RNAcentral's name for it is "partial small subunit ribosomal RNA". Lineage: Eukaryota; Viridiplantae; Streptophyta; Magnoliopsida; Poales; Poaceae. The record is from RNAcentral.
AUGGAUUCCAUCUUGGCUAAUGGGACAUGGGAGAUCACUGAUCAUCCUUAUGGUUGUCGACCAUUAGGAUGUAAGUGGGUGUUCAAAAGGAAGCUUAGGCCCGAUGGUACUGUUGAGAAGUACAAGGCUAGGCUUGUAGCCAAGGGUUAUACCCAGAAAGAAGAAGAGGAUUUCUUUGACACUUAUUCACCUGUGGCUAGACUGACAACCAUUCGAGUGUUACUCGCUUUGGCUGCCUCGCAUGGUCUUCUCAUUCAUCAGAUGGAUGUUAAGACAGCUUUCCUUAAGGGAGAGCUAGACGAGGAAAUUUACAUGCAACAGCCGGAUGGCUUUGUAGUAAAUGGUCAGGAAGGUAAGGUGUGUAAGCUAGUGAAAUCUUUGUAUGGCCUGAAACAAGCGCCUAAGCAAUGGCAUGAGAAGUUUAACACUACUCUUUCAUCUGCUGGCUUUGUUGUGAACGAAGCUGACAAAUGUGUAUAUUAUCGCUAUGGUGGGGGCGAAGGAGUUAUACUGUGUCUGUAUGUCGAUGACAUACUGGUAUUUGGGACCCACCUCAAGGUCAUUGAGGAGGUCAAGUCUUUUCUAUCUCACAACUUUGAGAUGAAGGACCUGGGUGUGGCUGAUGUUAUCCUGAACAUCAAGCUAUUGAGAAAUUCUGAGGGUGGAAUUACACUUUUGCAAUCCCACUAUGUUGAGAAGAUUUUGAGCCGUUUUGGAUAUUCGGACUACAAACCUUCUGCAACACCAUAUGAUCCUAGCGUGCGGAUUCGAAAGUUCAAAGGCACGACUGUAGAUCAAUUGAGAUAUUAUCAAGUGGUUGGUUCACUGAUGUACCUAGAAUGUGCUACUCGUCCUGACAUCUCGUUUGCUGUGUGCAAACUGAGCCGGUUUGUUUCCAAUCCGGGAGAUGUGCACUGGCAUGCUGUUGAGCGAGUGAUGCGUUAUUUGCAAGGUACUGCGAAUUAUGGAAUUCACUAUUCUGGGUACCCGACGGUACUUGAGGGGUAUAGUGAUUCGAAUUGGAUAUCUGAUGCUGAUGAGACGAAAGCCACUAGUGGACAUGUCUUCACACUUGGUGGUGGUGCUGUUUCCUGGAAGCCUUGCAAGCAGACGAUCUUAACCAGAUCGACUAUGGAAGCAGAACUCACAGCAUUAGACACAUCAUGCGUCGAAGUAGAAUGGCUUCGAGAGCUUUUGAUGGAUUUGCCGGUGGUUGAUAAACCAGUGCCGGCUGUCCUUAUGAACUGUGACAAUCAAACAAGCAUUCUUUGGAGGAACACACCUAUGUGA